RNAcentral lists this ribosomal RNA (465 nucleotides) under Vreelandella stevensii. Its description in RNAcentral is "partial 16S ribosomal RNA". It matches the Rfam family "Bacterial small subunit ribosomal RNA", at positions 338 to 795 of the family's 1533-position model. The record is from RNAcentral. Lineage: Bacteria; Pseudomonadati; Pseudomonadota; Gammaproteobacteria; Oceanospirillales; Halomonadaceae.
CCUACGGGAGGCAGCAGUGGGGAAUAUUGGACAAUGGGGGGAACCCUGAUCCAGUCAUGCCGCGUGUGUGAAGAAGGCCCUCGGGUUGUAAAGCACUUUCAGUGAGGAAGAACGCCUGGUGGUUAAUACCCAUCAGGAAAGACAUCACUCACAGAAGAAGCACCGGCUAACUCCGUGCCAGCAGCCGCGGUAAUACGGAGGGUGCGAGCGUUAAUCGGAAUUACUGGGCGUAAAGCGCGCGUAGGUGGCUUGAUAAGCCGGUUGUGAAAGCCCCGGGCUCAACCUGGGAACGGCAUCCGGAACUGUCAAGCUAGAGUGCAGGAGAGGAAGGUAGAAUUCCCGGUGUAGCGGUGAAAUGCGUAGAGAUCGGGAGGAAUACCAGUGGCGAAGGCGGCCUUCUGGACUGACACUGACACUGAGGUGCGAAAGCGUGGGUAGCAAACAGGAUUAGAUACCCUUGUAGUC